RNAcentral lists this ribosomal RNA (1254 nucleotides) under metagenome. RNAcentral describes it as "bacterial LSU rRNA". It matches the Rfam family "Bacterial large subunit ribosomal RNA", at positions 1634 to 2880 of the family's 2925-position model. The record is from RNAcentral.
AUAUACGACCGUACCGCAAACCGACACUGGUGCGCGAGAUGAGUAUUCUAAGGCGCUUGAGAGAACUCAGGAGAAGGAACUCGGCAGAUUGACACCGUAACUUCGGAAGAAGGUGUGCCCUAUUAAUGUGUAGUGAACAACGAAGCAUGAAUGGGUUGCAAAAAAUCGGUGGCUGCGACUGUUUAUUAAAAACACAGCACUCUGCAAACACGAAAGUGGACGUAUAGGGUGUGACGCCUGCCCGGUGCUGGAAGAUUAAAUGAUGGGGUGCAAGCUCUUGAUUGAAGUCCCAGUAAACGGCGGCCGUAACUAUAACGGUCCUAAGGUAGCGAAAUUCCUUGUCGGGUAAGUUCCGACCUGCACGAAUGGCGUAACGAUGGCCACACUGUCUCCUCCUGAGACUCAGCGAAGUUGAAAUGUUUGUGAUGAUGCAAUCUCCCCGCGGAAAGACGGAAAGACCCCAUGAACCUUUACUGUAGCUUUGUAUUGGACUUUGAACAGAUCUGUGUAGGAUAGGUGGGAGGCUUUGAAGCAGGGUCGCUAGAUCUUGUGGAGCCAACGUUGAAAUACCACCCUGGUGUGUUUGAGGUUCUAACCUAGGUCCAUUAUCUGGAUCGGGGACAGUGCAUGGUAGGCAGUUUGACUGGGGCGGUCUCCUCCCAAAGCGUAACGGAGGAGUUCGAAGGUACGCUAGUUACGGUCGGACAUCGUGACGAUAGUGCAAUGGCAUAAGCGUGCUUAACUGCGAGACUGACAAGUCGAGCAGAUGCGAAAGCAGGACAUAGUGCUCCGGUGGUUCUGUAUGGAAGGGCCAUCGCUCAACGGAUAAAAGGUACUCUGGGGAUAACAGGCUGAUACCGCCCAAGAGUUCAUAUCGACGGCGGUGUUUGGCACCUCGAUGUCGGCUCAUCUCAUCCUGGGGCUGUAGCCGGUCCCAAGGGUAUGGCUGUUCGCCAUUUAAAGAGGUACGUGAGCUGGGUUUAAAACGUCGUGAGACAGUUUGGUCCCUAUCUUCCGUGGGCGCUGCAGAUUUGAGGAAGCCUGCUCCUAGUACGAGAGGACCGGAGUGGACACACCUCUGGUGUAUCGGUUGUCACGCCAGUGGCAUUGCCGAGUAGCUAAGUGUGGAAGAGAUAACCGCUGAAAGCAUCUAAGCGGGAAACUCGUUUCAAGAUGAGAUCUGCCGGGGCCUUGAGCCCCCUAAAGAGUCGUUCAAGACCAGGACGUUGAUAGGUCAGGUGUGGAAGUGAAAAA